UUCCGGUUGAUCCCGCCGGAGGCUACCGCUAUUGGAGUUCGAUUAAGCCAUGCGAGUCGAGAGUCUUAGGGACUCGGCGUACCGCUCAGUAACACGUGGGUAACCUGCCCUAUGCUGGGGAAUAACCUCGGGAAACUGAGAAUAAUGCCCCAUAGUCCACCAUGCCUGGAACGGUUGGUGGAUGAAAGCUCCGGCGGCAUAGGAUGGGCCUGCGGCGUAUCAGGUCGUAGGGGGUGUAACGUACCCUCUAGCCAUCGACGCGUACGGGUGUUGGGAGACAUAGCCCGGAGAUGGAUUCUGAGACACGAAUCCAGACCCUACGGGGUGCAGCAGGCGCGAAAACUUGGCAAUGCGAGAAAUCGUGACCAGGGAACUCCAAGUGGCUGGGGUAAGACCCAGUCUUUUCUCGACUCUUCAAAGGUCUUGGAAUAAGGGGUGGGUAAGGACGGUGCCAGCCGCCGCGGUAAUACCGGCGCCUCAAGUGGUAGUCGAUUUUAUUGGGCCUAAAACGUCCGUCGCCUGUUUGGUACAUUCGUGGGUAAAUCAACCAGCUCAACUGGUUGAAUUCUGCGAGCACGGCCAGACUUGGGACCGGGAGAGGUGUGGGGUACGCUCAGGGUAGGGGUAAAAUCCUGUCAUCCUGAGCGGACCACCUGUUGCGAAGGCUCCACACUAGAACGGAUCCGACGGUCAGGGACGAAGCCUAGGGGCACGAACCGGAUUAGAUACCCGGGUAGUCCUAGGUGUAAACGCUGUGGACUUGGUGUUGGGAAGGUUCCGAGCCUUCUCAGUGCCGAAGCGAAGGUGAUAAGUCCACUGCCUGGGGAGUACGGUCGCAAGGCUGAAACUUAAAGGAAUUGGCGGGGGAGCACCGCAACCUGAGGAUUGUGCGGUUUAAUUGGAUUCAACGCCGGG
Molecule: ribosomal RNA, 915 nt
Filed under: uncultured archaeon
Lineage: Archaea
Description: bacterial SSU rRNA
Rfam family: Archaeal small subunit ribosomal RNA
Source: RNAcentral